This is a non-coding RNA of Shewanella benthica KT99, 784 nucleotides long. NCBI's taxonomy places the organism in Bacteria, Pseudomonadati, Pseudomonadota, Gammaproteobacteria, Alteromonadales, Shewanellaceae. The record is from Rfam.
UAAUUGAAGAGUUUGAUCAUGGCUCAGAUUGAACGCUGGCGGCAGGCCUAACACAUGCAAGUCGAGCGGAAACAGGAAGGUGCUUGCACCUUUGCUGUCGAGCGGCGGACGGGUGAGUAAUGCCUAGGGAACUGCCCAGUCGAGGGGGAUAACAGUUGGAAACGACUGCUAAUACCGCAUACGCCCUACGGGGGAAAGGAGGGGACGCGCUUUUCGAAGUACGCCUUUCGCGAUUGGAUGUACCUAGGUGGGAUUAGCUAGUUGGUAAGGUAAUGGCUUACCAAGGCGACGAUCCCUAGCUGGUCUGAGAGGAUGAUCAGCCACACUGGAACUGAGACACGGUCCAGACUCCUACGGGAGGCAGCAGUGGGGAAUAUUGCACAAUGGGCGCAAGCCUGAUGCAGCCAUGCCGCGUGUGUGAAGAAGGCCUUCGGGUUGUAAAGCACUUUCAGCGAGGAGGAAAGGUUGUAGUUUAAUAAACUGUAGCUGUGACGUUACUCGCAGAAGAAGCACCGGCUAACUUCGUGCCAGCAGCCGCGGUAAUACGAGGGGUGCAAGCGUUAAUCGGAAUUACUGGGCGUAAAGCGUACGCAGGCGGUUUGUUAAGCAAGAUGUGAAAGCCCCGGGCUCAACCUGGGAAUUGCAUUUUGAACUGGCAAACUAGAGUCUUGUAGAGGGGGGUAGAAUUUCAGGUGUAGCGGUGAAAUGCGUAGAGAUCUGAAGGAAUACCGGUGGCGAAGGCGGCCCCCUGGACAAAGACUGACGCUGAGGUACGAAAGCGUGG